RNAcentral lists this ribosomal RNA (871 nucleotides) under Cryptodiaporthe populea. RNAcentral describes it as "LSU rRNA". It matches the Rfam family "Eukaryotic large subunit ribosomal RNA", at positions 36 to 935 of the family's 3401-position model. The record is from RNAcentral. Lineage: Eukaryota; Fungi; Ascomycota; Sordariomycetes; Diaporthales; Gnomoniaceae.
UAGCAUAUCAAUAAGCGGAGGAAAAGAAACCAACAGGGAUUGCCCUAGUAACGGCGAGUGAAGCGGCAACAGCUCAAAUUUGAAAUCUGGCUUCGGCCCGAGUUGUAAUUUGCAGAGGAUGUUUAUGGUGCGGUACCUUCCGAGUUCCCUGGAACGGGACGCCACAGAGGGUGAGAGCCCCGUCUGGUUGGAUACCAAACCUGUGUUAAACUCCUUCAACGAGUCGAGUAGUUUGGGAAUGCUGCUCUAAAUGGGAGGUAAAUCUCUUCUAAAGCUAAAUACUGGCCAGAGACCGAUAGCGCACAAGUAGAGUGAUCGAAAGAUGAAAAGCACCUUGAAAAGGGGGUUAAACAGUACGUGAAAUUGUUGAAAGGGAAGCGUUUAUGACCAGACUUGUGUCGUGUGGCUCAUCCGAGGUUCUCCCCGGUGCACUCCAUGCGGCUCAGGCCAACAUCGGUUCUUGUUGGAGGAUAAGAACAGUAGGAACGUAGCUCCUCUUCGGGGGAGUGUUAUAGCCUAUUGUACGAUACUCUGACGGGGACCGAGGACCGCGCUUCGGCUAGGAUGUUGGCGUAAUGGUCAUUAGCGACCCGUCUUGAAACACGGACCAAGGAGUCGUCCAUUAGAGCGAGCGUUUGGGUGUAAAACCCGCACGCGUAAUGAAAGUGAAAUUAGGUGAGAGCUUCGGCGCAUCAUCGACCGAUCCUGAAGUUUACGGAUGGAUUUGAGUAAGAGUUUUAACGGACGGACCCGAAAGACAGUGAACUAUGCUUGAAUAGGGUGAAGCCAGAGGAAGAUACUGGUGGAGGCUCGCAGCGGUUCUGACGUGCAAAUCGAUCGUCAAAUUUGAGCAUGGGGGCGAAAGACUAAU